Molecule: ribosomal RNA, 652 nt
Filed under: uncultured Staphylococcus sp.
Lineage: Bacteria; Bacillati; Bacillota; Bacilli; Caryophanales; Staphylococcaceae
Description: bacterial SSU rRNA
Rfam family: Bacterial small subunit ribosomal RNA
Source: RNAcentral
GGACGAGAAGCUUGCUUCUCUGAUGUUAGCGGCGGACGGGUGAGUAACACGUGGAUAACCUACCUAUAAGACUGGGAUAACUUCGGGAAACCGGAGCUAAUACCGGACAAUAUUUUGAACCGCAUGGUUCAAAAGUGAAAGACGGUCUUGCUGUCACUUAUAGAUGGAUCCGCGCUGCAUUAGCUAGUUGGUAAGGUAACGGCUUACCAAGGCAACGAUGCAUAGCCGACCUGAGAGGGUGAUCGGCCACACUGGAACUGAGACACGGUCCAGACUCCUACGGGAGGCAGCAGUAGGGAAUCUUCCGCAAUGGGCGAAAGCCUGACGGAGCAACGCCGCGUGAGUGAUGAAGGUCUUCGGAUCGUAAAACUCUGUUAUUAGGGAAGAACAUAUGUGUAAGUAACUGUGCACAUCUUGACGGUACCUAAUCAGAAAGCCACGGCUAACUACGUGCCAGCAGCCGCGGUAAUACGUAGGUGGCAAGCGUUAUCCGGAAUUAUUGGGCGUAAAGCGCGCGUAGGCGGUUUUUUAAGUCUGAUGUGAAAGCCCACGGCUCAACCGUGGAGGGUCAUUGGAAACUGGAAAACUUGAGUGCAGAAGAGGAAAGUGGAAUUCCAUGUGUAGCGGUGAAAUGCGCAGAGAUAUGGAGGAA